GUGGGGAAUUUUGGACAAUGGGCGCAAGCCUGAUCCAGCAAUGCCGCGUGCAGGAAGAAGGCCUUCGGGUUGUAAACUGCUUUUGUACGGAACGAAACGGUCCGGGUUAAUACCCUGGGCUAAUGACGGUACCGUAAGAAUAAGCACCGGCUAACUACGUGCCAGCAGCCGCGGUAAUACGUAGGGUGCAAGCGUUAAUCGGAAUUACUGGGCGUAAAGCGUGCGCAGGCGGUUUUGUAAGACAGGCGUGAAAUCCCCGGGCUCAACCUGGGAAUUGCGCUUGUGACUGCAAGGCUGGAGUGCGGCAGAGGGGGAUGGAAUUCCGCGUGGAGCAGUGAAAUGCGUAGAUAUGCGGAGGAACACCGAUGGCGAAGGCAAUCCCCUGGGCCUGCACUGACGCUCAUGCACGAAAGCGUGGGGAGCAAACAGGAUUAGAAACCCCUGUAGUCC
RNAcentral lists this ribosomal RNA (450 nucleotides) under uncultured bacterium. Its description in RNAcentral is "partial 16S ribosomal RNA". It matches the Rfam family "Bacterial small subunit ribosomal RNA", at positions 354 to 796 of the family's 1533-position model. The record is from RNAcentral.